CAAGCCCUGGAAACGGGGUCUAAUACCGGAUAAUACUUUCUCCCGCAUGGGAGAAGGUUGAAAGCUCCGGCGGUGAAGGAUGAGCCCGCGGCCUAUCAGCUUGUUGGUGGGGUGAUGGCCUACCAAGGCGACGACGGGUAGCCGGCCUGAGAGGGCGACCGGCCACACUGGGACUGAGACACGGCCCAGACUCCUACGGGAGGCAGCAGUGGGGAAUAUUGCACAAUGGGCGAAAGCCUGAUGCAGCGACGCCGCGUGAGGGAUGACGGCCUUCGGGUUGUAAACCUCUUUCAGCAGGGAAGAAGCGAAAGUGACGGUACCUGCAGAAGAAGCGCCGGCUAACUACGUGCCAGCAGCCGCGGUAAUACGUAGGGCGCAAGCGUUGUCCGGAAUUAUUGGGCGUAAAGAGCUCGUAGGCGGCUUGUCACGUCGGAUGUGAAAGCCCGGGGCUUAACCCCGGGUCUGCAUUCGAUACGGGCAGGCUAGAGUGUGGUAGGGGAGAUCGGAAUUCCUGGUGUAGCGGUGAAAUGCGCAGAUAUCAGGAGGAACACCGGUGGCGAAGGCGGAUCUCUGGGCCAUUACUGACGCUGAGGAGCGAAAGCGUGGGGAGCGAACAGGAUUAGAUACCCUGGUAGUCCACGCCGUAAACGUUGGGAACUAGGUGUUGGCGACAUUCCACGUCGUCGGUGCCGCAGCUAACGCAUUAAGUUCCCCGCCUGGGGA
RNAcentral lists this ribosomal RNA (723 nucleotides) under Actinomycetes bacterium. Its description in RNAcentral is "bacterial SSU rRNA". It matches the Rfam family "Bacterial small subunit ribosomal RNA", at positions 144 to 879 of the family's 1533-position model. Lineage: Bacteria; Bacillati; Actinomycetota; Actinomycetes. The record is from RNAcentral.